RNAcentral lists this transfer RNA (72 nucleotides) under Bos taurus (domestic cattle). It matches the Rfam family "tRNA". From Rfam's summary of the family: Transfer RNA (tRNA) molecules are approximately 80 nucleotides in length. Their secondary structure includes four short double-helical elements and three loops (D, anti-codon, and T loops). Lineage: Eukaryota; Metazoa; Chordata; Mammalia; Artiodactyla; Bovidae. The record is from Rfam by way of RNAcentral. RNAcentral also lists the same sequence under 1 other name.
UCCCAGGUAGCUCAGCUGGUAAAGAAUCCGCCUGCAAUGCGGGAGACCUGGGUUCAAUCCCUGGGUUGGGAA